AUGAAUUGUUGAUUAGUAGCACGUCGGGCUCGAGUGUAAAAGAGACGGGUGUUACAGAACGCCUCUAAGUCAGAAUCUGGGCUAGAAGCGACACAUGCGCCCACCGCCCGAUUGCCGACCCUCAGUAGGAGCUUCCGCUCUGAAAGGCACGUGUCGUUGGCUAAGUCCAUUUGGCGGAAACGCCGUUCGGACCGCCUUGAAUUAUAAUUACCACCGAGCGGUGGGUAGAAUCCUUUGUAGACGACUUAAAUACGCGGCGGGAUAUUGUAAGUGGCAGAGUGGCCUUGCUGCCACGAUCCACUGAGAUUCAGCCCUUUGUCACUAAGAUUC
Non-coding RNA from Brassica napus (rape), 330 nucleotides. Lineage: Eukaryota; Viridiplantae; Streptophyta; Magnoliopsida; Brassicales; Brassicaceae. The record is from Rfam.